CGACGACAACGGCGACGAUGAUGUGCCUACCACGAUCGACGAUGCGCGAAUGCACCAAUCGUGCGCGCGACAAAAAUUGUGAAGUGUUGAGCGCAAGAACUAUAGCGCAAUUAAAAUGAGCAAAGAAAACAAGUUGAAAAGGCAGCUAUCGCAAUGCCAACAAAUGAUAUGAUAUAAUGUUUAUAAAAAGUCAUGUAUAUGUGAUACAAGAGAACACAUAUCGCAUAAUAUCAUGUUGGAGUGCAAGUGAGAACACACUUUGUGAUGACUUGCAAUUAAAGAUAAAAAAAGUCGAAGAUAUUAGGUAUUUUAUAUAAUUUAAAGAAUGGUCUUAUCAAAACAGUAGCAAUAUUGAGCGGAAAUUUAGCUUAAGUUUAGCAUAGAUUUAGAACAGGUGAAUUUUUGUGUCUGAUUGUUUAUCAUUCAUCAAUUUCAAUAAAAAUUAUAAAAAUA
Molecule: long non-coding RNA, 453 nt
Organism: Monomorium pharaonis (pharaoh ant)
Lineage: Eukaryota; Metazoa; Arthropoda; Insecta; Hymenoptera; Formicidae
Exons: 4
Source: RefSeq, a predicted model, not a curated record